CCGGGGUUGAGGACCAUCAGACCCGCGAAGAACCUUAGCCGAAACUGUUGGGAAACAGUGCCAAAGACAGUGAAAGCCUGGUAGGCGAAAAAGAGAAACGCGGAGAUGGCACCAGAGUACCGCGGGACACGAGAAAUCCCGUGGGAAACAGGGGGGACCACCCUCCAAGGCAAAACACAGAUAUCGACCGAUAGCGCAUAGUACCAUGAGGGAAAGGUGAAAAGCACCCCGGGAGGGGAAUGAAAGAGAACCUGAAACCGUAUGUUUACAAGCAGUCGGAGACCGCUUAAUAAUAAGGUCGACGGCGUGCCUAUUGAAGAAUGAACCGGCGAGUUACGAAGCCUGGCAAGGUUAAGCAGGAAAUGCGGAGCCGAAGCGAAAGCGAGUCUUAAGAGGGCGCAAGUCAGGAAGCGUAGACCCGAAACCACAGUGAUCUACCCAUGUCCAGGUUGAAACACAGGUAAAAAUGUGUGGAGGACCGAACCUAUAUCCGUUGAAAAGGGUUAGGAUGAGGUGUGGGUAGGGGUGAAAUUCCAAUCGAACGUGGAGAUAGCUGGUUCUCCUCGAAAUAGCUUUAGGGCUAGCCUCAGGGAAAAGAUUGCAGGCGGUAGAGCACUGAUCAGGAGAGGGACCUACCCGGUUACCAAACCCAGUCAAACUCCGAAUGGCUGCAAUCAUACCUGGGAGUCAGACUGCGACUAAUAAGGGCCGCAGUCAAAAGGGAAACAGCCCAGACCAUCAGCUAAGGUCCCCAAUGCCGUGCUAAGUGGCGAAGGAUGUGGCAUUUCAUAAACAACCAGGAUGUUGGCUCAGAAGCAGCCACCAUUUAAAGAGUGCGUAAUAGCUCACUGGUCGAGAGACGCUGCGCCGAAAAUGUCCGGGGCUCAAGCACGGAACCGAAGCUAUGGCAUGAUAGCAAUAUCAUGGGUAGGGGAGCGUUCUUAUAAGGAAGAAGCAUGACCGGAAGGACAUGUGGACAAAUAAGAAGUGAGAAUGCCGGUAUGAGUAUCGAAAAGAAAGGUGAGAAUCCUUUCCACCGAAAGCCCGAGGGUUCCUGAGCAACGAUCGUCGACUCAGGGUAAGUCGGGACCUAAGCCGAGGCGAGAAGCGUAGGCGAUGGACAACAGGUUGAAAUUCCUGUACCGGAUCAAGUCGAUCGAGCGAAGGAGCGACGCAGGAGGGCACAUGAUCGCGCGGGUGGAAGAGCGCGUCCAAGUGCGUAUGUUGCUGCAGAGGAAAACCCCUGCAGCUAAAAGCAGAGACAUGAUGGGGAGUUAAAGGGAACUUUGACGAACUCAUGAAUCCCACACUGCCAAGAAAAACUUCUAGCGAGACAAGAUCCGCCCGUACCGUAAACCGACACAGGUAGGCGGGGAGAGAAUCCUAAGGUGCGCGGGAAAACCCUCGUUAAGGAACUCGGCAAAUUGCAUCCGUAACCUAGGGAGAAGGAUGGCCCCCGGUCAGUGAAGAGCAGAAACGCUCAGAGCUAAAAGGGGCGGCAGAAAAGAGGCCCAAGCAACUGUUUACCAAAAACACAGGUGCCUGCGAAAGCGAAAGCUGAAGUAUAGGUGCUGACGCCUGCCCGGUGCCGGAAGGUUAAGGAGAGAAGUUAGCGAAAGCGAAGCAUCGAACUGAAGCCCCGGUGAACGGCGGCCGUAACUAUAACGGUCCUAAGGUAGCGAAAUUCCUUGUCGGGUAAGUUCCGACCCGCAUGAAAGGCGUAAUGAUUUGGGCACUGUCUCAACGAGGGGCCCGGUGAAAUUGAAAUACCUGUGAAGAUGCAGGUUACCCGCGACUGGACAGAAAGACCCCAUGGAGCUUCACUGCAGCUUGAGAUUGAAUCCCGGUGACAGAUGCACAGGAUAGGUGGGAGGCGCCGAAGCAUUGCCCUAGGGCGGUGCGGAGCCGAUGUUGGGAUACCACCCUUCUGUUGCUGAGAUUCUAACGCGAGGAGUAACGACCCUGCGGACCCUCUCAGGCAGGCGGUUUGACUGGGGCGGUCGCCUCCGAAAGAGUAACGGAGGCGCCCAAAGGUUCCCUCAGGCCGGACAGAAACCGGCCGAAGAGUGCAAAGGCAGAAGGGAGCUUGACUGCGAGACCCACAAGUCGAGCAGAGACGAAAGUCGGGCUUAGUGAUCCGGUGGUACUGGGUGGAAAGGCCAUCGCUCAACGGAUAAAAGCUACCCUGGGGAUAACAGGCUAAUCUCUCCCAAGAGUUCAUAUCGACGGGGAGGUUUGGCACCUCGAUG
This is a ribosomal RNA of Dialister invisus CAG:218, 2249 nucleotides long. It matches the Rfam family "Bacterial large subunit ribosomal RNA", at positions 292 to 2531 of the family's 2925-position model. The record is from Rfam. Lineage: Bacteria; Bacillati; Bacillota; Negativicutes; Veillonellales; Veillonellaceae.